CAGCAACGUCGUUGAGCUGGUCGCUGAAUUCUUCUGUGCGCCAUUGGGAAAAAAACAUGACGUCUCCCGAGUGGCGCGCUCCGCGAAAGACGAUUUGUGACACCGUUCUUCAAGGUAUACUCUUGCCGUGGAGCCGUUAACAAUCCACCUUGAAUUGGACCGGAUAUCAAGCAGAAAGAAAUGUGGAGGUCAAGGAUACAAGGAUGCAAGGAGUAUUGUAUGAAGCGAUAAGUCCUGAUGCACAGGAGGGUAGAUCAAAAAGCGACAUGUUAUGAUCAUUCUCGAUCAAAUCCAGUAAGCAGUGAAUACAAACCUAGGAGGAAAGGACUAUCAAGAAUUCCCCAAUCUUAUUGGAAGACGCAGCUUACUAUUUAAGUACCGAGGGUAAUAUGUUACAAUCGAGCCGACUGCGAAUAUUUGAAGCUCUCCGUCAGUACUGUGCAAUUUCGUACCAUCAUGCAAUUUAUUUGUGCGUAUAUAUGUGUCUAUCAACCCGAAAACUGCUCUACGUUUGCAAUUCUUUGCGUGUAAAUUUGGCUUGAAGAGGA
RNA transcript from Varroa destructor (honeybee mite), 548 nucleotides. RefSeq lists it as uncharacterized. Lineage: Eukaryota; Metazoa; Arthropoda; Arachnida; Mesostigmata; Varroidae. The record is from RefSeq and is a predicted model, not a curated record.